GGUGCCUUGGCGCAAUGGUAGCGUGUUUGGCUUCGACUGCCUCAAAAUAUCCACCAAAAGGCUGCAGGUUCGAGUCCUGCAGGCAUCA
This is a non-coding RNA of Favolaschia claudopus, 88 nucleotides long. NCBI's taxonomy places the organism in Eukaryota, Fungi, Basidiomycota, Agaricomycetes, Agaricales, Mycenaceae. The record is from the annotation of a GenBank genome assembly.